This 1374-nucleotide long non-coding RNA is filed under the name Callithrix jacchus (white-tufted-ear marmoset). RNAcentral describes it as "lncRNA (ENSCJAG00000070870.1)". The record is from RNAcentral. Lineage: Eukaryota; Metazoa; Chordata; Mammalia; Primates; Cebidae.
CUCUUCUUUCUUAAGCAUGAAUGCCACUACAGUUUUUUUUUCACGAGAUCUGCACUUUAAGGAAUUUAGCUUUUAUAUAACACAUAGUGAAUGAGCGUAUGUACUUCUCUGUGGCUACCCAUAAGGUAAUACAUUGUCACUUUUCAACAGGAUUGCAGAGUGGCUUUGCUAAAAUUGUUUCUUUCAGUGGCACUCAGGAAAGAUCACAACAGUUGUGGAGUUACUACAUAAAGAGGCUUCUACUCCCCAAGGGAGGAGGAACCAGCUAAAUCUAAGAACGGCACAAAAUUAACUCACAAAGAAGAAUUAAAAACAGAAGAUGUUUACCUACGUUAACGAACCUGCACAUCCUGCAUGUGUAUCCUGGAACUUAAAAAAAAAUCAAAACUUUUAAAAAGGAAUAAAAAAACAGGUAAGAAAAUCUAAAACUAAGAGAUAGUCCUAAACCUAACAAUAAAAGAAUUUACAUCCAAGUUGAAAUAGAGCUGGUAGGACACUCUUGGAAGUGGAUCUCAAAAUAAGUAUAACAAAAAUUCUUAAAAAGAUAUAUAAGUAAAUAAUACCCAUGAAAAAAGAAUGCAAUUAUGCAACAAAGUAAAAAUAAAAAAAACUUCUUUGCUUUCUAUGAGGAAUUAUAGAUAGAUACAAGGAAUUGUUCCAAAAUAGAGCCAGGUACAUAAAUAGAAGUUACAGGACCUAGAGAACAGAAUGGGAAGCUCUAACAGAGGACUAAAAGAAGGUGCAGAAGGGAAAAAAAAUAGAAAGAAAGGCAAAUUGUCCAUGUACAAAUGUAAAAUGGCUCAGAAUUUUCAGAAAUAAUGAUACGAAACUCUCUCUCUCUCUCUCUGUCUCUCUCUCCAUCAAACAUUGGAAAAGGACCUUUCGUUUCACACACAGAUGAAAUAUUUUAAAAAAAGCAGAAGUAAGCAACAAGGUUAAAUUUUUUUUUGACACCCAUCUCCUAUUUUGAUGCUUUCACUAAGGUAAUUUAUCAUUCAAGCUGAUGACUGGUUGGUAACUGUUGUAGCACUCUACCUGCAGGCAUCUGUCCUACUCAUUACUGAGCCUUCCGAAUUCUUUUGUAUUUUCCCACAUUGUUCAUUAAAACCAAUCGCUGCUCUCUAAAUGGGUUCAUGUUUAAUAAUAGUAAUAAGUCUUAGCACACCAUAUAAAUUUCAAAUAUUAAGAGUAGAAAUAUAUUUUCAGAGAGUAGUUGAAUUUUCACAGAAUUUAAAUUUUCUAUUCAGUUUAUAAUGCUUCUUUAAUUCUUAUAAAUGAACAAGAUUGUUAACAAUUCAAGAGAAAGCCAGGCAAAGAUAGGAACACAGAGUUCAGAAAGAAAUACAAGGAACCACUACAUACAUUAAAAGAAAC